GACGGACGCUGGCGGCGUGCUUAACACAUGCAAGUCGAACGGAAAGGCCCUGCUUUUGUGGGGUGCUCGAGUGGCGAACGGGUGAGUAACACGUGAGUAACCUGCCCUCGACUUUGGGAUAACUUCAGGAAACUGGGGCUAAUACCGGAUAGGAGCUCCUGCUGCAUGGUGGGGGUUGGAAAGUUUCGGCGGUUGGGGAUGGACUCGCGGCUUAUCAGCUUGUUGGUGGGGUAGUGGCUUACCAAGGCUUUGACGGGUAGCCGGCCUGAGAGGGUGACCGGCCACAUUGGGACUGAGAUACGGCCCAGACUCCUACGGGAGGCAGCAGUGGGGAAUAUUGCACAAUGGGCGGAAGCCUGAUGCAGCAACGCCGCGUGCGGGAUGACGGCCUUCGGGUUGUAAACCGCUUUCGCCUGUGACGAAGCGUGAGUGACGGUAAUGGGUAAAGAAGCACCGGCUAACUACGUG
This 468-nucleotide ribosomal RNA is filed under the name uncultured bacterium. Its description in RNAcentral is "partial 16S ribosomal RNA". It matches the Rfam family "Bacterial small subunit ribosomal RNA", at positions 28 to 507 of the family's 1533-position model. The record is from RNAcentral.